AAUCCUGGUGGCGAGUGGCGAACGGGUGAGUAAUACAUCGGAACGUGCCCUGUCGUGGGGGAUAACUAGUCGAAAGAUUAGCUAAUACCGCAUACGACCUGAGGGUGAAAGCGGGGGACCGUAAGGCCUCGCGCGAUAGGAGCGGCCGAUGUCUGAUUAGCUAGUUGGUGGGGUAAAGGCCCACCAAGGCGACGAUCAGUAGCUGGUCUGAGAGGACGAUCAGCCACACUGGGACUGAGACACGGCCCAGACUCCUACGGGAGGCAGCAGUGGGGAAUUUUGGACAAUGGGGGCAACCCUGAUCCAGCAAUGCCGCGUGUGUGAAGAAGGCCUUCGGGUUGUAAAGCACUUUUGUCCGGAAAGAAAUC
RNAcentral lists this ribosomal RNA (368 nucleotides) under Cupriavidus basilensis. RNAcentral's name for it is "bacterial SSU rRNA". It matches the Rfam family "Bacterial small subunit ribosomal RNA", at positions 81 to 452 of the family's 1533-position model. The record is from RNAcentral. Lineage: Bacteria; Pseudomonadati; Pseudomonadota; Betaproteobacteria; Burkholderiales; Burkholderiaceae.